This 1497-nucleotide long non-coding RNA is filed under the name Sus scrofa (pig). RNAcentral describes it as "lncRNA (ENSSSCG00015021831.1)". The record is from RNAcentral. Lineage: Eukaryota; Metazoa; Chordata; Mammalia; Artiodactyla; Suidae.
CCAAGCCUCAUUUUCCCCACCUGUAACUUCUUAGCAUUUUAGUGAGCUGCCCAGGCCAGAGCUUAGCAGAGGGCAGAGAACAGCCCUGCUAGUCUCUUUUGUUCUAGUUUGGAAGCUGGAGGCUUCUUUUUGCUCAUGAAGCUGCUCUGGGAUGGCCAGUGUGGGUGGUGCUAGCCUCAUGCCCUUAGAGCCGGUGUUGUAGGGUGAUUUGUGAAAUGGAUUUGACUUGUUAGGCUCUUAGUUUUCUCUUUCCCCAGCCAGAUAAAAGAAAGACUUUGAGAUCUUUAUGAGAGCAAGAGAGUAGGACUGGACGAACCCCAGGACCCACACCAGACCCAUGAUGACCACGAUGGUUUCUCGUGAAGCAGCCCUGAAACUGAGGUCUCCUGGUGCCCAGAUUGAAGAAACAACUGAAAAGGGCUAUGGGGAACUUCUGCCCAUUACAGCAAUUGGACAAUGAUGCGGAACUCUCGCUUCGAUGAGAAGAUUGACUCCGAUGACUACAGCUGUAGAAUGACACUUGUACUAGUCCCAGUGAUGCUGAACAUUUUUUGAGACUGACAGUUGCCUUCUCCCUGAUUAGAGAGGUAAGCCUGGAGAGCUGGGAAGUAAGUCCACUCCAUCAGGAUGGUGGGGGGGCUGAAGGAGGGGUGACAGCCACUGCAGCACCACCUCAGCUAGCCUGCUUCUGGUCAUUAUGGCUGGAUGGUGAUGGCCUGGUGCCUUGAAUAGGAUUGUUCCCUACUUUGGGUUGAGAGCUCUAGACUUUUACUCUGAGAGUUCUAGACUUUUACUCUGCCGCUCACCCUCCUCUGCUUGUAGUCCCGAAACAGAUCAGUUUGAUUGUUCUUUGCUGAGGCUGAUGUGAUGAACUCUGCCUCUGUCCCCAGUCAUCUCAUUUCCUAGGUGCUUUGGACUUAGUGAAUGGUUUUCCUUUUCUGGCCUUACUAUUCCCUUCAGCCACAAUCAUCACUUCCCUCCUCUUCUGGCAGCUGAAGGUGUUUGAUGUCAAGCCUAACUUCCCCAAAUCCAAUGAAAGGCACAGAGGCUGAGCUGUCAUCUGAUAUCAUGGCUUGGUUUACUCAAGGUGAUGUUUUGCUUUCUCCCCAGUGACUCUUCAUGUUUCUCCAUCUAACAUUUUUGGAGUCACUUAAUUCCUUAGUGCCCAUGCAAAUUCUCCUGCUGUUCUAAAAAAGAGGGCUCUAUUUUUCUUUGUUUGCUUCUUUUUAGGGCUGUACCUGCAGCACAUGGAAGUUUCUGGGCUAGGGGUUGAGUCAUAAAUGUAGCUGCCAGCCUAUGCCACAGCAACAGCAACACCAGAUCUCAGCCACAUCUGCACCCUACACCACAGCUCACGGCAAUGCCAAAUCCUUAACCCACUGAAUGAAGCCAGGGAUUGUACCUGUGUCCUCAUGGAUACUAGUCGGGUUCAUUACUGCUGAGCCACAUUGGGAACUCUAAGAGGGCUGUAUUCUUGAUCACAUUAAGGCAUUUAAA